RNAcentral lists this ribosomal RNA (253 nucleotides) under uncultured bacterium. RNAcentral describes it as "partial 16S ribosomal RNA". It matches the Rfam family "Bacterial small subunit ribosomal RNA", at positions 524 to 776 of the family's 1533-position model. The record is from RNAcentral.
UACGUAGGGGGCUAGCGUUGUCCGGAUUUAUUGGGCGUAAAGAGCGUGUAGGCGGCCAUGUAGGUCCGGUGUGAAAACUCGAGGCUUAACCUCGAGAUGUCAUCGGAAACCAUUUGGCUAGAGUCCGGGAGAGGUGAGUGGAACUGCGAGUGUAGAGGUGAAAUUCGUAGAUAUUCGCAAGAACACCAGUGGCGAAGGCGGCUCACUGGCCCGGUACUGACGCUGAGGUGCGAAAGCGUGGGGAGCAAACAGG